RNAcentral lists this small nuclear RNA (211 nucleotides) under Marchantia polymorpha subsp. ruderalis. Its description in RNAcentral is "U4 spliceosomal RNA". The stretch from base 1 to 120 matches the Rfam family "U4 spliceosomal RNA". Rfam says of the family: U4 small nuclear RNA (U4 snRNA) is a component of the major U2-dependent spliceosome. The structure of U4 snRNA from yeast and human has been reported. U4 snRNA presents a k-turn RNA motif in the 5p-SL related to recognition of Snu13 protein. The record is from Rfam by way of RNAcentral. Lineage: Eukaryota; Viridiplantae; Streptophyta; Marchantiopsida; Marchantiales; Marchantiaceae.
AUCUUUGCGCUCGGGGCAAUGACGCAAUUAGUGAGGUGAAACCGAGACGCGUCAAUUGCUGGUUGAAAACUAUUUCCAUUUUUAUAUGUGUGUUUAAGCCUUUGACCUAGUCCCUAGAUGAACCACGUUACAUCCAUCUUGUUUUAACCUUCUUUGAUUUAUUGUUGAUACUGUCACCUCACUUGUGAUUUUUUAUUUUACUUCAUGAAGA